Triplophysa rosa is the source of this 246-nucleotide long non-coding RNA. RefSeq lists it as uncharacterized. NCBI's taxonomy places the organism in Eukaryota, Metazoa, Chordata, Actinopteri, Cypriniformes, Nemacheilidae. The transcript is spliced from 3 exons. The record is from RefSeq and is a predicted model, not a curated record.
ACAAAACACGUGCAAGCCGUCAUACUGUUCACAUCUAGAACAAACGUCUAUUUACAGUAAAUCCACCAGAACACAAAAGAAGAUAUUUUGAAGAAUGUUGUCAAAAAGGGUUGAAAUGACAAGAGGGUUUUGCUGCAGAUGUUGUUCAAAUGGACAAAUCUCUCACUUGUAAGACGCAUUGGAUACAUCAUCACGGAUGAUUUCAGCAAGUUUAACAGGUGUCUGUCAUUAUUUACUCACCCUCAG